ACAGAGAUAGCUUGCUAUCUGCUGACGAGCGGCGGACGGGUGAGUAAUGCUUGGGAAUAUGCCUUAUGGUGGGGGACAACAGUUGGAAACGACUGCUAAUACCGCAUAACGUCUACGGACCAAAGGGGGGGAUGCUUCGGCACCUCCCGCCAUUUGAUUAGCCCAAGUGAGAUUAGCUAGUAGGUGAGGUAAGAGCUCACCUAGGCGACGAUCUCUAGCUGGUUUGAGAGGAUGAUCAGCCACACUGGGACUGAGACACGGCCCAGACUCCUACGGGAGGCAGCAGUGGGGAAUAUUGCACAAUGGGCGAAAGCCUGAUGCAGCCAUGCCGCGUGUGUGAAGAAGGCCUUCGGGUUGUAAAGCACUUUCAGCGAGGAGGAAAGGUUAGUGGUUAAUAGCCACUAGCUGUGACGUUACUCGCAGAAGAAGCACCGGCUAACUUCGUGCCAGCAGCCGCGGUAAUACGAGGGGUGCAAGCGUUAAUCGGAAUUACUGGGCGUAAAGCGUGCGUAGGUGGUUUGUUAAGCAAGAUGUGAAAGCCCUGGGCUCAACCUGGGAACUGCAUUUUGAACUGGCAAGCUAGAGUUUUGUAGAGGGUAGUGGAAUUUCCAGUGUAGCGGUGAAAUGCGUAGAGAUUGGAAGGAACAUCAGUGGCGAAG
RNAcentral lists this ribosomal RNA (659 nucleotides) under uncultured bacterium. RNAcentral describes it as "bacterial SSU rRNA". It matches the Rfam family "Bacterial small subunit ribosomal RNA", at positions 69 to 720 of the family's 1533-position model. The record is from RNAcentral.